AUGACUCCGGGAGGGCUUUACCGUCCCCCGGGCCCCGCCCGCCCCCCGCGCCGCGCCAUUGGCUCAGGUGCCGCGAGGCGGGGAGGGGCAGGGGGCGGGCCGGGGAUGAUUCACCUUGAAUGUGGCUCCGGUUGGUGCUCAGCCCAGGGCACGCCCGUUCGGGACUGCGGAGACGCCGGGAGCCCCGCCUGCUCGCCCAACCCAGCGGGGUCUGGUCCCAAGGGGUCUCGCCGCCCGCCUUCUAUCUCCGCCUCCUGCCCUCGGGCUGGGGUGCCGAUAGCCGAGGUGCGCCCGGACGCCCUGCCACCCCAGCGCCCUCUGAGCCCGGAGCUAGCCGAGCAUCCUGAGAGCCGGAACGCCCCCUCCCUCCCUGCUGCUUUGGCUGCCCUUGCCAGUCCCAGCUCCGCCCCGCCCGGCCGCCCCAGACGGCAACGGCAGCUCAAAACCAGAUUAAAAUAAAACGUUAAUCCGCCCUUCUCCUUUUUAGCUCCUAGUUCUUCCCAAUCGACCCCCGCAGAUCUGGCACCCUAGAAGCCCCUAUAAAAUGAGGGUGGUGCUUAGCCGAUGCUCCCACCAAACCUAAUCCUUGCACUUAAAGACCGUUAACACCCUCUCUUGGGCUAGAGCAAAGGAAGAGGGUGAGGCAGUGGAAGCGAGGGCCGGGGAAUCUAUAGUUCCCCUCUCCCUGCUCCUGCUGAGUCAAGAGGGGCCAAGGGUGACAGCACGGAUACGAACCAUUCAGUAUGCCAGACUCUAGGGCAGAGCCUGGGCAGGGCGUAGAUGUCGCAGCCAGAUAGAUCCGGAAGUAAGAUCCCCCACCCCAGGUGGAUAACUGGACUAUUCUCAGAGCCUCGGGGCCCGUCUCCCCAUGCAGCCAGGGAUGGGCGCAGUGACCCAGAACCCCGACAGCGAAGAUAACGAGCAAGUCACAGGGCCCAACGGGCCAAAAGGGGGGUGAUAGCUCCACAUUAACCCCUCCUGGUCCUACACGCAUUCACCCGCCCAUCUAGGUCGCCCUGAGCCUCCCUGGCCGUCUCCGCACCCGCGACCUACCUGGUCCUCAGGCUCAUGGAAUGCAGGGCAGCCUGGACCGGGUGUGCCCAGGACUGCAAAGCGGGAAGCGCAGGCCUUGCGGACUGCGAGUGGCCCCCGCGGCCUGCGGCUCCCCUUUAUAGC
RNAcentral lists this long non-coding RNA (1176 nucleotides) under Callithrix jacchus (white-tufted-ear marmoset). RNAcentral's name for it is "lncRNA (ENSCJAG00000066592.2)". Lineage: Eukaryota; Metazoa; Chordata; Mammalia; Primates; Cebidae. The record is from RNAcentral.